Molecule: long non-coding RNA, 374 nt
Organism: Hyposmocoma kahamanoa
Lineage: Eukaryota; Metazoa; Arthropoda; Insecta; Lepidoptera; Cosmopterigidae
Exons: 3
Source: RefSeq, a predicted model, not a curated record
AACCAAAAGGUCCUGAACCGCGUCCUGAACCGAAAGUUCCUAAACCGUGUCCUAAACCGAAAGUUCCCGAACCGAAAGUUCCUAAACCGGGUCCUAAACCGUGUCCUAAACCGAAAAUUCCGAAACCGUAUCCUCCAAGACCUUGGAACGAUGACAAAGACAAAUGUGAUAAGAAAGACAAAUAUGACAGGCACGAUGGGAAAUGUGAUAAAGACAGGAAAGAAAAGCGAGGCAAAAAGGACAAGUGUGAUUAAUAGUGUGACUCAGGAUAAAAAUCCAGUCCUCAUCACAUAACAAGUAACAACUAAAAAGAAAUGCACCCGUGGAUCAGUGUUAUUGAAGUUGAAUUGCAAUAAAUAUCAAUUCAUGUCAAA